This 458-nucleotide ribosomal RNA is filed under the name uncultured bacterium. Its description in RNAcentral is "partial 16S ribosomal RNA". It matches the Rfam family "Bacterial small subunit ribosomal RNA", at positions 338 to 795 of the family's 1533-position model. The record is from RNAcentral.
CCUACGGGUGGCAGCAGUGGGGAAUAUUGCACAAUGGGGGAAACCCUGAUGCAGCGACGCCGCGUGAGUGAAGAAGUAUUUCGGUAUGUAAAGCUAUAUCAGCAGGGAAGAAAUAGCGACCUUUGGGUCGCCAGACGGUACCUGAUUAAGAAGCCCCAGCUAACUACGUGCCAGCAGCCGCGGUAAUACGUAGGGGGAAAGCGUUAUCCGGAUUUACUGGGUGGAAAGGGAGGGUAGACGGAAGCGCAAGUCUGAAGUGAAAUGCCGGGGCUUAACCCCGGAACUGCUUUUGAAACUGUGCAGCUAGAGUGCAGGAGAGGUAAGUGGAAGUCCUAGUGUAGCGGUGAAAUGCGUAGAUAUUAGGAGGAACACCAGUGGCGAAGGCGGCUUACUGGACUGUAACUGACGUUGAGGCUCGAAAGCGUGGGGAGCAAACAGGAUUAGAUACCCGAGUAGUC